Molecule: long non-coding RNA, 655 nt
Filed under: Cucumis sativus (cucumber)
Lineage: Eukaryota; Viridiplantae; Streptophyta; Magnoliopsida; Cucurbitales; Cucurbitaceae
Description: long non-coding RNA (CSAT_LNC000408)
Source: RNAcentral
UGAGGGCGAAAUCUCAGGACCAGGGUUUGGUAAUCUAAGUAAGAUGGUUAAUCUUAAUCUAAUGCAGAAUAAGUUUAGUGGUUCGAUUCCUCCACAGAUGUAUCACCUGCAAUACCUUCAAUAUCUCGACAUGAGCAGCAAUUUGCUUGGUGGAACUUUGACUUCAGAUGUGAGGUUUCUUAGGAACUUGAGAGUGCUGAAGUUGGAUAGCAAUUCUCUUACCGGAAAACUUCCUGAGGAAAUUGGCGACCUGGAAAUGCUGCAGAAACUGUUCAUUCGCAGCAACAGCUUUGUGGGCGAAGUCCCGCUCACCAUUGUCAAUUUGAAAUCUUUACAGACGCUGGACAUGAGGGACAAUAAGUUUACAAUGGGGAUUCCUUCGGAUAUUGGCAGUCUGUCCAACUUGACGCAUUUGGCCUUGAGCAAUAACAAAUUGAAUGGCACAAUUCCAACGUCAAUACAGCACAUGGAAAAGUUGGAACAAUUGGAACUGGAAAACAACUUACUUGAAGGGCUUGUUCCGAUAUGGUUGUUCGAUAUGAAAGGGCUAGUUGAUUUGUUGAUUGGAGGCAAUUUGAUGACUUGGAACAACAGCGUUAAAAGCGUAAAACCGAAGCAAAUGCUUUCUCGACUGUCGUUGAAGUCUUGUGGGCUC